This 318-nucleotide ribosomal RNA is filed under the name uncultured eukaryote. RNAcentral describes it as "partial 18S ribosomal RNA". It matches the Rfam family "Eukaryotic small subunit ribosomal RNA", at positions 1470 to 1796 of the family's 1831-position model. The record is from RNAcentral.
CCCUUAGAUGUCCUGGGCCGCACGCGUGCUACACUGACGCAUACAGCGAGCACUUUCCAGUUCUGAGAGGCUACUGGUAAUCAUCAAUAUGCGUCGUGAUGGGGAUAGAUCUUUGGAAUUCUGGAUCUUGAACGAGGAAUGCCUAGUAAUCGCAGGUCAUUAGCCUGCGAUGAUUAAGUCCCUGCCCUUUGUACACACCGCCCGUCGCUACUACCGAUUUCGAGUGGUCAGGUGAAUCUUUCGGACUGUGGGCGCCCUUGAGGUGUUCGCGGAAAGUCAGGUAAAUCUUAUCACUUAGAGGAAGUAAAAGUCGUAACA